This 677-nucleotide ribosomal RNA is filed under the name uncultured bacterium. RNAcentral describes it as "bacterial SSU rRNA". The stretch from base 1 to 546 matches the Rfam family "Bacterial small subunit ribosomal RNA", at positions 338 to 873 of the family's 1533-position model. The record is from RNAcentral.
CCUACGGGAGGCAGCAGUAAGGAAUAUUGGACAAUGGUCGCAAGACUGAUCCAGCCAUGCCGCGUGCAGGAAUGACUGCCCUAUGGGUUGUAAACUGCUUUUGUACGGGAAUAAACCCCUCUACGUGUAGAGGGCUGAAUGUACCGUAAGAAUAAGGGUCGGCUAACUUCGUGCCAGCAGCCGCGGUAAGACGAAGGACCCAAGCGUUAUCCGGAUUCAUUGGGUUUAAAGGGUGCGUUAGGCGGAUUGAUAAGUCAGUGGUGAAAGCCUGUUGCUUAACAACAGAACUGCCAUUGAUACUGUUGAUCUUGAAUAUGUUUGAUGUGGGCGGAAUAUGACAUGUAGCGGUGAAAUGCUUAGAUAUGUCAUAGAACACCGAUUGCGAAGGCAGCUCACAAAGCCAUUAUUGACGCUGAGGCACGAAAGCGUGGGGAUCAAACAGGAUUAGAUACCCUGGUAGUCCACGCUGUAAACUUUGAUCACUCGUCUGUUGGUCGAUACACAGUCGAGCGGCGUACGACGAAACGACGUUAAGUUAGUAGUACCGACCCGUCGGGGUAGGUACGGUACGUCGCGAAGAGUUAGUAAACGUAACGUAAAGUAAGUUAAGUUAGGUUACGGACGGUUGGAGGACGUUCGGACCGGACGGGACGACGACGGACGGGGAGGGUUAAGGG